AGUUCAGGCAAAAAUACAUUUUUCCCUCCGAAAGACACCACAAGGAUCCUCAAUGAUUUGCUGGAACAGGCUCAAGCCAAGCUCAUUUCCCAGUGUAACUACAGCAGCAAAAAGAAGGGGGCAGUAUGGCAGCAGAGGAAGAAAGACUACUGCUGCUACGGUGGGGAAAUAGCAGCAAAGGCUAUCCCAGCCAGGAGUAAACCUGCCUUGCCAUUUCCUGAGCUGCUUGGGAGGGUUGGAGUUUUGACCUUAGAAGGAAGCCAAUGUGAGACUUGGAGGAAGGGAUCCGAAGAAGGACAACCCUGAUGCUUGGAUUAUCAUCAGCCACAGAGUGGAACUCCUGAUUCAACCUAUAGCCCCAGGGCUACAUUCCCAGUACCACAGGAUUGCAGCCUACAGAUAUUUAGAAUUGCAGUCUAAGACUGCAUUCCUCUUGUCUUUGUGUGUGUCAUCUAAUUGCUUCAUGGGUCAUUAUAGGUUGAAAUCUUCAUAGAACAUGAUUGUUCUCAAGCCCUGCUUUCUGACUACAGGUGCCUGUUUCUGUCCUACUUUUGCAAUGCCUCAGUUUAAACACAUGGUAAUCACUGAGAACAAUUUUCUGGAAUGAACUGCUUGGUCCCAGGUGUGCCUUCACAUAGAUGCACUAGACUUAAGAAAUUGACCCAUGAGAUCUAUCCAGGUGAACAUUAUUAUUGUCUGACAACAUGAUCUUCCCUUUUCUUUCUGAGUUUAGCUAUAAUUCUUAGGAGAAGUGGAUUUCCCCAGCAAGCACCUAUUGUUGUGAGUCAUCUCUGAAGGCAAAUAAUGGCUUGCUCAUGAAUGAGUAGUUAAGACCUAUUAGCUUUACAGAAACACCAAAUUAACUUAAUGGAAGUUUAGCAAUGUGAGUUCUGGCUGGUGAAUAGGUGGUAUUUUCUAAAUCAUUGGGGUGGUAACUUCUCAGGUGUUAUUUGGAACUAUUUCACACCUUGAAUGUCUCUCUUAAAGUUUUGAAUAAAACCGACAGCAGGUCCGCUACUCCACUGACACAGAAACCACCAGUUGCCUCUGUAACCAAGUAUCUCCUGCCCAAGUCCAGCAGCCUAAUCACUGUUCUGUUCUGUCUUUUGAUAGUUCAUUGCUCUAUUCUAUGCUAAAUAAUCCCAGACAAUAGGGCAUUAUACCACACAAUACAGAAUGAGAGAGAGAGAUGGAUUAAAACAGCUGUCAAGAUUUAUACAUUCUACUUGGGAGUUUGGGAAGCUUUGUGAUGAGCGCCUGCACUUCCUGUAUAACUGAAACGAAGAGAUGGAGAAAAUCAGAUAAUCCGUCUUCUAGCUCAUGCCUUCAAUAAAGUAUGCUUUACAAGUUGAGAAAGGGCAACACAAAGCCAGAAGCUACUAAGAAUCUAAGAAAAGCUGGAUAGACUUCUGGCAUAAAGUUUGCCACAGGAACUUCAUAGCUGGCUAUUUACAUAGUAAACACCACCAAACCAUGCCAAAGUAUAAUACCAAUAUUACAGUGAUUACACAAUGAGGAUAUUGCUACAAAUGAAAUAUUACUUUAGUCUUCAAAAUUUCUGGCAUUGCAAUAACUUGAGCUGGACAUUCAGAAAUUUAGUAUAGGCAUCCAAUGAAAAAGAACAGGUAAUGAUACCAUGGUAAAGAGGACACAGCAAAUAGAAGAAUCCCAGGGGUCAGCAUUUUUCAGUGUCUUGCUUUCUACAAUGCUGAAGAAAAAAUUAUAGGGGUCAGAUUUCCUUUUUGGGGAAGGCAAUGUUCCCAUUUUGUGCUCCCCAGUCACUACACAUAGUUAUUGGUAUCAACAGACCUGUUGAGCGAAUGAAUUGUAUGGAAAAAUGUCUAGGAGAAUGAGAAAAAUGUGAAGAGAUAGCUACCUCUUUUUUUGAGGAGAUAAAUUCCACAAAGUUUCAGAAGACAUGUGGCAAAUACCACAUUCAUUUACAAGCCAGCUGAAAAAGUGGGGAAAUAGGAGUCUAAUCUGGUACAGGAAACCAAAGAAUAUUUGAAGAUUUAGAUUACCCCACUUCCAUAUGUCCCUGCCCGCAGUGGAGUACCCCUCUGUCCCUCUCACUCCAGGUUUUAUCUUUGUGUUUACGCGGCCUGCCCUUGUUUUAUUGUUUUUUGAUUUCUUGAUGUAAUGCCUAUUAUCAUUUAUUGUAUUUUUUAAUGGUGCUAUGAUAUGUUGUUUUUAUAUCUUAUUAUAUUGUAUUGCUCUGGGCAUGGCCCAAUGUUAGCCGCCCCUCGUCCCCGUUGGGGAGAUGGUGGCGGGGUAUAAAUAAAGUAUUAUUAUUAUUAUUAUUAUUAUUAUUAUUAUUAUUAUUAUUAUUGAAGGCCUGUUUGAUGGUGGCGCCUGCUAACUGUAAAUGUUAUACAGAAUGGUGAUUAUGUUAACCUGCUGUGCAGUGAAAACAAAACAAAUGCUAUUAGGACUUCAUCCCAUGUAGUCUUUGCUCCGUUUCUUUGCACUGCUGAAACAGAGUCCAUCACAUGACAUAAGGCCACUUCUGGUGGCUGCCCGUGGGACUCUGUUGCAUCAAUGUGGGGAAACAGAGCAAAGACUGUGUGUUCCCCAGCUUCUCUCCAGAAGACAGAGAGAAGCUGAGGAAAGGACAUGGAAUAGCUGCCAUCCCUGAAUAUGGAAAGGCACUGAACCUCAAUGGUAAUGUGAAAAAAAGACGGUUUCCGCUGCUUUCCCCACUCCCCCAGG
RNAcentral lists this long non-coding RNA (2709 nucleotides) under Anolis carolinensis (green anole). RNAcentral's name for it is "lncRNA (ENSACAG00000034509.2)". Lineage: Eukaryota; Metazoa; Chordata; Lepidosauria; Squamata; Anolidae. The record is from RNAcentral.